UAGGGAAUCUUCGGCAAUGGGGGGAACCCUGACCGAGCAACGCCGCGUGAGUGAAGAAGGUUUUCGGAUCGUAAAGCUCUGUUGUUAAGGAAGAACGAGUGUGAGAAUGGAAAGUUCAUACUGUGACGGUACUUAACCAGAAAGGGACGGCUAACUACGUGCCAGCAGCCGCGGUAAUACGUAGGUCCCGAGCGUUGUCCGGAUUUAUUGGGCGUAAAGCGAGCGCAGGCGGUUAGAUAAGUCUGAAGUUAAAGGCAGUGGCUCAACCAUUGUAGGCUUUGGAAACUGUUUAACUUGAGUGCAGAAGGGGAGAGUGGAAUUCCAUGUGUAGCGGUGAAAUGCGUAGAUAUAUGGAGGAACACCGGUGGCGAAAGCGGCUCUCUGGUCUGUAACUGACGCUGAGGCUCGAAAGCGUGGGUAGCGAACAGG
RNAcentral lists this ribosomal RNA (429 nucleotides) under Bacteroidota bacterium. RNAcentral describes it as "Bacteroidetes bacterium partial 16S ribosomal RNA". It matches the Rfam family "Bacterial small subunit ribosomal RNA", at positions 355 to 776 of the family's 1533-position model. Lineage: Bacteria; Pseudomonadati; Bacteroidota. The record is from RNAcentral.